CCUACGGGAGGCAGCAGUGGGGAAUAUUGCGCAAUGGAGGAAACUCUGACGCAGCAACGCCGCGUGGGUGAAGAAGGUCUUCGGAUUGUAAAGCCCUGUCGGGAGGGAAGAAAAGCACAUGGUGAAUGUGUCUGACGGUACCUUCGAAGGAAGCACUGGCUAACUCCGUGCCAGCAGCCGCGGUAAUACGGAGAGUGCAAACGUUGUUCGGAAUUAUUGGGCGUAAAGGGCGCGUAGGCGGCUUGGUAAGUCAGAUGUGAAAGCCCUGGGCUCAACCCGGGAAGUGCGUUUGAAACUGCUAAGCUUGAGUGCAGGAGGGAGAGGUGGAAUUCCAGGUGUAGGAGUGAAAUCCGUAGAUAUCUGGAGGAACACCGGUGGCGAAGGCGACCUCUUGGCCUGAAACUGACGCUGAGGCGCGAAGGCGUGGGUAGCAAACAGGAUUAGAUACCCUGGUAGUCCACGCGGUAAACGAUGCUCACUGGGUGCUGGUGGCAGACGCUGUCAGUGCCGUAGCUAACGCGAUAAGUGAGCCGCCUGGGGAAGUACGGGUCGCGAAGAUUAAAACUUCAAAUUGAAUUGACGG
This 583-nucleotide ribosomal RNA is filed under the name uncultured bacterium. RNAcentral describes it as "bacterial SSU rRNA". It matches the Rfam family "Bacterial small subunit ribosomal RNA", at positions 338 to 916 of the family's 1533-position model. The record is from RNAcentral.